RNAcentral lists this ribosomal RNA (1342 nucleotides) under uncultured bacterium. Its description in RNAcentral is "16S ribosomal RNA". It matches the Rfam family "Bacterial small subunit ribosomal RNA", at positions 28 to 1378 of the family's 1533-position model. The record is from RNAcentral.
GACGAACGCUGGCGGCGUGCUUAACACAUGCAAGUCGAACGGAAAGGCCCUGCUUUUGUGGGGUGCUCGAGUGGCGAACGGGUGAGUAACACGUGAGUAACCUGCCCUUGACUUUGGGAUAACUUCAGGAAACUGGGGCUAAUACCGGAUAGGAGCUCCUGCUGCAUGGUGGGGGUUGGAAAGUUUCGGCGGUUGGGGAUGGACUCGCGGCUUAUCAGCUUGUUGGUGGGGUAGUGGCUUACCAAGGCUUUGACGGGUAGCCGGCCUGAGAGGGUGACCGGCCACAUUGGGACUGAGAUACGGCCCAGACUCCUACGGGAGGCAGCAGUGGGGAAUAUUGCACAAUGGGCGGAAGCCUGAUGCAGCAACGCCGCGUGCGGGAUGACGGCCUUCGGGUUGUAAACCGCUUUCGCCUGUGACGAAGCGUGAGUGACGGUAAUGGGUAAAGAAGCACCGGCUAACUACGUGCCAGCAGCCGCGGUGAUACGUAGGGUGCGAGCGUUGUCUGGAUUUAUUGGGCGUAAAGGGCUCGUAGGUGGUUGAUCGCGUCGGAAGUGUAAUCUUGGGGCUUAACCCUGAGCGUGCUUCCGAUACGGGUUGACUUGAGGAAGGUAGGGGAGAAUGGAAUUCCUGGUGGAGCGGUGGAAUGCGCAGAUAUCAGGAGAACACCAGUGGCGAAGGCGGUUCUCUGGGCCUUUCCUGACGCUGAGGAGCGAAAGCGUGGGGAGCGAACAGGCUUAGAUACCCUGGUAGUCCACGCUGUAAACGGUGGGUACUAGGUGUGGGGUCCAUUCCACGGGUUCCGUGCCGUAGCUAACGCUUUAAGUACCCCGCCUGGGGAGUACGGCCGCAAGGCUAAAACUCAAAGGAAUUGACGGGGCCCCGCACAAGCGGCGGAGCAUGCGGAUUAAUUCGAUGCAACGCGUAGAACCUUACCUGGGUUUGACAUGGAUCGGGAGUGCUCAGAGAUGGGUGUGCCUCUUUUGGGGUCGGUUCACAGGUGGUGCAUGGCUGUCGUCAGCUCGUGUCGUGAGAUGUUGGGUUAAGUCCCGCAACGAGCGCAACCCUUGUUCACUGUUGCCAGCACGUUAUGGUGGGGACUCAGUGGAGACCGCCGGGGUCAACUCGGAGGAAGGUGGGGAUGACGUCAAGUCAUCAUGCCCCUUAUGUCCAGGGCUUCACGCAUGCUACAAUGGCUGGUACAGAGAGUGGCGAGCCUGUGAGGGUGAGCGAAUCUCGGAAAGCCGGUCUCAGUUCGGAUUGGGGUCUGCAACUCGACCUCAUGAAGUCGGAGUCGCUAGUAAUCGCAGAUCAGCAACGCUGCGGUGAAUACGUUCCCGGG